Non-coding RNA from Theobroma cacao (cacao), 1346 nucleotides. The record is from RefSeq and is a predicted model, not a curated record. Lineage: Eukaryota; Viridiplantae; Streptophyta; Magnoliopsida; Malvales; Malvaceae.
UUUUACCGAACUUUUCUCUCUCUCUAGAAAAAUGAAACGAAGUCCCUCCUUUGGCCGUUUCCCCCACCGCCAGUGACCCCCAAACACUCUUCUUCUUCAUUCAGUUCUCUCUUUCCUUCCCUUUUCACCAAUUGGAAGCCUUCAUAUUUCCCCAAAACCAACCUCUGUCUCAAACCACAGAAAGCAAACUGUUGGAAUUUCUGUCGAACUGAAGAUUUUUCUUUUAUCUCAUUGAUCAACAAGAAAUUACUCUAAGAUUUGGUUUACAAAGGCAUCCAGGGGGACCUGACCCGUAUAGUUACAAUUUGCGAGCCUUGAGCGAGGGCGAAAACAGAAGAGCUGAGAUUUGAGGUCUGAGAUUGAGACUGAGACUGAGUUUGAGUUUGAGGAGGUAAGCCAUUCCUUCCAAAAUCUCUGACUAACAGUUUGCAGAGAGGGAGAUGGGCUGCUGGAGGGGAUAUCAUUCCGAGCUUCAUUCCAGGCUUGGACAUGAUAUUCUCAUCUCUCCACACACAAGGUUAACUCCAAGGCAAGGAAAUAUGGAAGAGAUGAAGUAAAGGAUCGAGGUGGGUAGCCGGUGGACAUGGCGUACGUCUUUGGAUUUUGGAGGAAAUGCAGCAUUACCAAAACCUUCUAUCAUUGAUCAAACUGAAGACUGUCAGAAAAAGGGGAAAAAAAAAAGAAACAUGCUUGCUUUCCCUAUAAGCAGGAGGAACUGCAAGGUCGCAGAUGCAACAAGGAGGCAUUUCAAAAGCUCACAGAGAGCUCAGCAGCUGAAAAAAAUGAGGUUGAAAAACCUAAACACUCGCAUGAAAAGGCUACGGGUGGAGAUGGAAGAAAUCAGUGAGGAACAAAAAAAAAUCAAAGAUGGGCAAAGACAAGUAAGAGAGAAAUUUGAAGCCAUUGAAUUGGAAUGUGAGCAACUUCGAAAGGAAACAAAACUCAUAACACAACAAAGUCUUAGCACCCAAAUCCGCCUUGCUCUUAUGUUCCAAAUCUUGAAAGCUAGAGAAAACCAUGACUUUUCUAAAGCAUCACAACUUACUUGUGUUCUCCGUGAAUUGAUAGAAAGAGAGAACCAACAGAAGGAAGCUUUCACUGCCAAUUAAUGAGGCAUGCUACUACAAGUAAAUGGUGGGAAAAACUCCAUUCUAUUAUAAUAAACUAUAUGAGUGCUAAUUCUAGGCAUGUAUGUUGUGAUGAUGUGUUAUUGUAAUAAACUAGAUUGAUUGUGAAACCCCUGUUUUUCGCAUUGUGGAAAUUUGGUGAAAAUAUGAACUUUGUAAAUUAUGCAUUGGUGAUGAUUAUCUAUCAGAAUCCCUUGUCAUUUGAUAUAAAUCUUUCCA